GACGUAGGGCGCGAGCGUUGUCCGGAUUUAUUGGGCGUAAAGAGCUCGUAGGCGGCUUGUUGCGUCGACCGUGAAAACCCGGGGCUCAACUUCGGGCUUGCGGUCGAUACGGGCGGGCUAGAGUUCGGUAGGGGAGACUGGAAUUCCUGGUGUAGCGGUGAAAUGCGCAGCUAUCAGGAGGAACACCGGUGGCGAAGGCGGGUCUCUGGGCCGAUACUGACGCUGAGGAGCGAAAGCGUGGGGAGCGAACAGG
This 253-nucleotide ribosomal RNA is filed under the name uncultured bacterium. RNAcentral's name for it is "partial 16S ribosomal RNA". It matches the Rfam family "Bacterial small subunit ribosomal RNA", at positions 524 to 776 of the family's 1533-position model. The record is from RNAcentral.